CUCUACCUCAUUAAGGUCACCCAGCCCUAUCAGUUCCACUCUCCAUCUUGUCAAAGUUGCCCCAGCCCUAUCAGUCCGCUCUCUACCUCAUUAAGGUCACCCAGCCCUAUCAGUUCCACUCUCCAUCUUGUCAAAGCCGUCCUGGCCCUAUCAGUCCGCUCUCUACCUCGUUAAGGUCACCCAGCCCUAUCAGUUCCACUCUCCAUCUUGUCAAAGUUGCCCCAGCCCUAUCAGUCCGCUCUCUACAUCAUCAAGACUACUCCAGCCCUACCAUUCUGCUCUCCAGUGGGAUUCCUGCUACAGUCGUCCUACCAACCACAUAAUCAAACCCAGAUUACCUUUUGUCUACCUAGUGCCCCAGCACUCUGGGACUAGCCCUGGAAUUUCCCAAACAAAACACCCCUGCCUUUGCCUGGCUACCAUUCUUGUCUCUGGACAUCUCCCCCAUGAGACACUGAGUUCCUUUAACUUUCAAAGCUGCAGGCUAAACUUCUGGUGUAUUUAAAAGAAAAGCAAACUGAACAUAACAAAUAUCUGGUUUCACGGACAGUCCUUUUUCUGUUCUAUUACACAGACACAGCUGCCCAUCUGUCUGCUGUUUGUUAAGCUCAGAAUAAAAAUGAACUUUAGGAUCUAGGCCCCUUGUAUUGGUAGCUCCAGUCAGGGUCUGGCUUAUGGUAGGUAUUUAAUAAAAAAGAAAAA
Long non-coding RNA from Antechinus flavipes (yellow-footed antechinus), 702 nucleotides. RefSeq lists it as uncharacterized. The transcript is spliced from 2 exons. Lineage: Eukaryota; Metazoa; Chordata; Mammalia; Dasyuromorphia; Dasyuridae. The record is from RefSeq and is a predicted model, not a curated record.